Molecule: non-coding RNA, 131 nt
Organism: Triticum aestivum (bread wheat)
Lineage: Eukaryota; Viridiplantae; Streptophyta; Magnoliopsida; Poales; Poaceae
Source: Rfam
GGCAUACUCCCUCCAUUUUAAAAUUCUUGUCUUAGAUUUGUCUAGAUACGGAUGUACCUAGUCAUGUUUUAGUGUUAGAUACAUCCUUAUCUAGACAAGUGUAAGACACGAAUUUUGGGACGGGGUAAUAU